UGAUGGGGACGCGCAAUGACAGGUUGCCCAACCCCGUCAGGACCGGAAGGUAGCAGCGGUAAGCGAUACUGGCUUGUGCCGCGUUACACCCGUCAUCU
Molecule: signal recognition particle RNA, 98 nt
Filed under: Candidatus Cloacimonadota bacterium
Lineage: Bacteria; Pseudomonadati; Candidatus Cloacimonadota
Also listed under: 2 other names
Description: signal recognition particle sRNA small type
Rfam family: Bacterial small signal recognition particle RNA
About the family: The signal recognition particle (SRP) is a universally conserved ribonucleoprotein involved in the co-translational targeting of proteins to membranes. Archaeal SRP consists of a 7S RNA and homologues of the eukaryotic SRP19 and SRP54 proteins.
Source: RNAcentral